AAAACUGUUUCACUUAAUUUGGAGAAAGGAAGCAUAUACGUUUGCAUUUGGAGCAAGGAAGGAACAAGCAUGCUCGGGCUCAAGGACUUGGUUUAUUCCUGGGUGACUGAAAGUCCAUGCCAUGAGGCAUCCUCUGGGAGUGUGAGCAGAGUAGCAGCAAGCACAUGAAGAAGGGCUGUGAUGAGACGGCAGUGCAGUGAGGGCACUUUCAGGGAAGUGGAAGGAUGUGGCUUUAAUAAGAGUAAGAGCCUGAACUAUACGGGAGAGAAAAAGGAGAAACCUGCUGCCGUUGCCACAGCCAUGGCCAGAGUUCUUCGGGAAACCAAGCCAAUCCCUAACCUCAUCUUUGCCAUAGAACAGUAUGAAAAAUUUCUCAUCCACCUUUCUAAGAAGUCCAAGGUGAACCUGAUGCAGCACAUGAAGCUCAGCACCUCACGAGACUUCAAGAUCAAAGGAAACAUCCUAGACAUGGUUCUUCGAGAGGAUGGCGAAGAUGAAAAUGAAGAGGGCACUGCAUCAGAGCAUGGGGGACAGAAC
RNAcentral lists this small RNA (537 nucleotides) under Pan troglodytes (chimpanzee). RNAcentral describes it as "processed transcript". The record is from RNAcentral. Lineage: Eukaryota; Metazoa; Chordata; Mammalia; Primates; Hominidae.